Acanthosepion pharaonis is the source of this 114-nucleotide non-coding RNA. NCBI's taxonomy places the organism in Eukaryota, Metazoa, Mollusca, Cephalopoda, Sepiida, Sepiidae. The record is from the annotation of a GenBank genome assembly.
UUACGGCCAUAUCACGUUGAAACACCGGUUCUCGUAUGAUCACCGAAGUUAAGAAACGUCGAGCCCGGUCAAUACCUAGAUGAGUGACCGCUUGGAAAUACCAGGUGCUGUAAG